UGGGGAAUCUUAGACAAUGGGGGAAACCCUGAUCUAGCCAUGCCGCGUGAGUGACGAAGGUCUUAGGAUCGUAAAGCUCUUUCGCUGGGGAAGAUAAUGACUGUACCCAGUAAAGAAGUCCCGGCUAACUCCGUGCCAGCAGCCGCGGUAAUACGGAGGGGACUAGCGUUGUUCGGAAUUACUGGGCGUAAAGCGCGCGUAGGCGGAUUAGUCAGUCAGAGGUGAAAUCCCAGGGCUCAACCCUGGAACUGCCUUUGAUACUGCUAGUCUUGAGUUCGAGAGAGGUGAGUGGAAUUCCGAGUGUAGAGGUGAAAUUCGUAGAUAUUCGGAGGAACACCAGUGGCGAAGGCGGCUCACUGGCUCGAUACUGACGCUGAGGUGCGAAAGUGUGGGGAGCAAACAGG
This 404-nucleotide ribosomal RNA is filed under the name uncultured bacterium. RNAcentral describes it as "bacterial SSU rRNA". It matches the Rfam family "Bacterial small subunit ribosomal RNA", at positions 355 to 776 of the family's 1533-position model. The record is from RNAcentral.